Non-coding RNA from Paramormyrops kingsleyae, 1160 nucleotides. The record is from RefSeq and is a predicted model, not a curated record. NCBI's taxonomy places the organism in Eukaryota, Metazoa, Chordata, Actinopteri, Osteoglossiformes, Mormyridae.
UCCAUGCUACAGUAUGUGGACUUGCCAACCAGUUCAUACAUUUUGGACAGCAGUAACUCAAAUAUUAUUAUCUCUACUGAGUCAUAGGAUUCCAUUAUCUCCAUCUCUAUGCUUGCUUGGUGACACAACACAGAUGGAUCUCAGAUACCUGCAUCUAAUCACAGUACACAGUACUACAUAUACAAAACAAGAUCACUGCAAUUUGUAUUUUGGUGAUACUUGCCAGCCAUUUCAACUGUGAGAACUGUGUUUAUAUUCCCAGGUAUGUCUGGAAAAAUGUGGGGCUAUAAUCGGUGCAUGGAAUCUUCAUCACAAUCACUGGGUUCUUGUGGUAAGAAGACAGUUGUGUACACAAAAUGUGCAUUUCUUAAUUACAUGUAUUUAUAGAGGGUCAUAUGGUGGAAUUACUCAUCCACAAAAUGCUUCAUUUCAUCUCCACUGUAGUACCUAAAUGCCUACACACACACUGUGGUGCUUCUGGAUCCACAGAAGGACAAUGAGAUGGUGGAAUCAAAAGUAGCUGCUGAUUGCUUUAGCAACUUUUUUGCCCUACGUAAUGAGCGACUUAAAAAACAGGAGCUGUGUGGGGGAAAAUGGAAACCAGCCACAGUUGCACACACAUUACAAAAAGACAGCUGUAGUUGUGGGGUCUUUGUAAUGGAAAUGGGCAAGCAGCUUAUCAACCACUUUCCUCGGGUUCCCAGUUACAUCAUCAUUCCAGGUGACAUCAUUCAAUGCCGUGAGACUAUGGCGAUGGAAAUACUCAGUGGUUCAGGUACACUGCAAGUAGUGGCCUUAUGUUCUCUGUCUUCAAUCAAGAACCAUAUCUACACUAUCCCUGACAUGAUGUUAUUGUUGGCUUGCAAGUCGUACCUGUAACGUCUCCCACUGCUAGAAAUAUAGCACAUGUGAUGUGGCAUUGCACAGCCUGUGCAGAUGAGUCUUCGUCAUAAAGCAGCAGCGUACUUCAGGGUCUGAACCCAAAAUGUGAGUGUUGUCAGGGUGCUACACACUGGUGGUGGUUAAGGUGGCUUGGCACAUGACUGGUGGGGUACCUUGGUGUCAGGCCAGUGUGUCUGGUGAGAGUGGAUGUUUGUAUGUGUGUGUGGCGUGUCGGCGGGGCUCAGCUUGGAUGGGGCAUAUGUAUAUGGAUAUGUAUA